GACGAACGCUGGCGGCGUGCUUAACACAUGCAAGUCGAACGGAAAGGCCCUGCUUUUGUGGGGUGCUCGAGUGGCGAACGGGUGAGUAACACGUGAGUAACCUGCCCUUGACUUUGGGAUAACUUCAGGAAACUGGGGCUAAUACCGGAUAGGAGCUCCUGCUGCAUGGUGGGGGUUGGAAAGUUUCGGCGGUUUGGGAUGGACUCGCGGCUUAUCAGCUUGUUGGUGGGGUAGUGGCUUACCAAGGCUUUGACGGGUAGCCGGCCUGAGAGGGUGACCGGCCACAUUGGGACUGAGAUACGGCCCAGACUCCUACGGGAGGCAGCAGUGGGGAAUAUUGCACAAUGGGCGGAAGCCUGAUGCAGCAACGCCGCGUGCGGGAUGACGGCCUUCGGGUUGUAAACCGCGUUCGCCUGUGACGAAGCGUGAGUGACGGUAAUGGGUAAAGAAGCACCGGCUAACUACGUG
This 468-nucleotide ribosomal RNA is filed under the name uncultured bacterium. RNAcentral's name for it is "partial 16S ribosomal RNA". It matches the Rfam family "Bacterial small subunit ribosomal RNA", at positions 28 to 507 of the family's 1533-position model. The record is from RNAcentral.